RNAcentral lists this ribosomal RNA (254 nucleotides) under uncultured prokaryote. Its description in RNAcentral is "partial 16S ribosomal RNA". It matches the Rfam family "Bacterial small subunit ribosomal RNA", at positions 525 to 777 of the family's 1533-position model. The record is from RNAcentral.
ACAGAGGGUGCGAGCGUUGUUCGGAAUUACUGGGCGUAAAGCGCGCGCAGGCGGCCGUUUAAGUCCACUGGUCAAACGCCGGGGCUCAACCCCGUGCUCGCCAGGGAUACUGGACGGCUGGAGACAUGUAGAGGCGAGCGGAAUUCCGGGUGUAGCGGUGGAAUGCGUAGAGAUCCGGAAGAACACCGGAGGCGAAGGCGGCUCGCUGGGCAUGAUCUGACGCUGAGGCGCGAAAGCGUGGGGAGCGAACAGGA